RNAcentral lists this ribosomal RNA (254 nucleotides) under uncultured bacterium. RNAcentral's name for it is "partial 16S ribosomal RNA". It matches the Rfam family "Bacterial small subunit ribosomal RNA", at positions 524 to 776 of the family's 1533-position model. The record is from RNAcentral.
UACGUAGGGUGCAAGCGUUUGUCCGGAAUUAUUGGGCGUAAAGAGCUCGUAGGCGGUCUGUCGCGUCGGCUGUGAAAACCCGGGGCUCAACUCCGGGCCUGCAGUCGAUACGGGCAGACUAGAGUGCGGUAGGGGAGACUGGAAUUCCUGGUGUAGCGGUGAAAUGCGCAGAUAUCAGGAGGAACACCGGUGGCGAAGGCGGGUCUCUGGGCCGUAACUGACGCUGAGGAGCGAAAGCGUGGGGAGCGAACAGG